This 87-nucleotide transfer RNA is filed under the name Allochromatium vinosum. RNAcentral's name for it is "tRNA-Leu". It matches the Rfam family "tRNA". From Rfam's summary of the family: Transfer RNA (tRNA) molecules are approximately 80 nucleotides in length. Their secondary structure includes four short double-helical elements and three loops (D, anti-codon, and T loops). RNAcentral also lists the same sequence under 3 other names. Lineage: Bacteria; Pseudomonadati; Pseudomonadota; Gammaproteobacteria; Chromatiales; Chromatiaceae. The record is from RNAcentral.
GCCGGGGUGGCGAAAUUGGUAGACGCAUCAGACUCAAAAUCUGACGGUGGUGACACCGUGCCGGUUCGAGUCCGGCCCUCGGUACCA